GAUCCUGGCUCAGGAUGAACGCUAGCUACAGGCUUAACACAUGCAAGUCGCGGGGCAGCAUGAAUUUAGCUUGCUAAAUUUGAUGGCGACCGGCGCACGGGUGAGUAACGCGUAUCCAACCUUCCCCAUAGUCAGGAAUAGCCCGGCGAAAGUCGAAUUAAUGCCUGAUGUUUUCCACGGACGGCAUCCGAUGUGGAACAAAGAUUGAUCGCUAUGGGAUGGGGAUGCGUCUGAUUAGCUUGUUGGCGGGGUAACGGCCCACCAAGGCAACGAUCAGUAGGGGUUCUGAGAGGAAGGUCCCCCACAUUGGAACUGAGACACGGUCCAAACUCCUACGGGAGGCAGCAGUGAGGAAUAUUGGUCAAUGGGCGGAAGCCUGAACCAGCCAAGUAGCGUGAGGGAUGACUGCCCUAUGGGUUGUAAACCUCUUUUAUAAGGGAAUAAAAUACGGGACGUGUCCUGUUUUGCAUGUACCUUAUGAAUAAGGACCGGCUAAUUCCGUG
Molecule: ribosomal RNA, 503 nt
Filed under: uncultured bacterium
Lineage: Bacteria
Description: bacterial SSU rRNA
Rfam family: Bacterial small subunit ribosomal RNA
Source: RNAcentral